RNAcentral lists this long non-coding RNA (353 nucleotides) under Vigna radiata. RNAcentral describes it as "long non-coding RNA (VRAD_LNC015448)". Lineage: Eukaryota; Viridiplantae; Streptophyta; Magnoliopsida; Fabales; Fabaceae. The record is from RNAcentral.
UUGAACCACAUAUAAUGAAAUGGACUAGAAACAAAAUUGUGUGACCAGGUCCACAAUCGUUCAUAGAAGCAUCACUCUAUAAUCAAAUAAAAACACAAUUAAGAAAAUCCAAGUUAAUAUAAAAAUCUCACCUCCAUCAAUUUCUUCCGAGCUUUCUCAAGCUCAUAUGUAAUUUCACACUCUUUGAUGAUUAGAGCUUGGUUGAAAUCAUUUUACUUUUCUAGUGACUCUUCGAGCUCAACCACUUUUGCUUUGAGAUUUUCAUACUCAACGUGAUGAUACCAUCACUAAUAUAUUAUUCCCGGACCAACUUGUUAAAUUAGAACAAACUAUAUUAUAAUUUAAACUCAUCC